ACCUGGCUGGCUCAGUUGGUAGAGCAGGCGACUCCUGAUCUCUCUCUGGGUUGUGAGUUCAAGCCCCAUGUUGGGUG
This 77-nucleotide transfer RNA is filed under the name Ailuropoda melanoleuca (giant panda). It matches the Rfam family "tRNA". Rfam says of the family: Transfer RNA (tRNA) molecules are approximately 80 nucleotides in length. Their secondary structure includes four short double-helical elements and three loops (D, anti-codon, and T loops). The record is from Rfam by way of RNAcentral. Lineage: Eukaryota; Metazoa; Chordata; Mammalia; Carnivora; Ursidae.